Long non-coding RNA from Pocillopora damicornis (cauliflower coral), 800 nucleotides. RefSeq lists it as uncharacterized. The record is from RefSeq and is a predicted model, not a curated record. Lineage: Eukaryota; Metazoa; Cnidaria; Anthozoa; Scleractinia; Pocilloporidae.
ACCUGUCUCUACGUGGGAGUAGACUAAAAGUCUCCCAUGCAUGUAUGCUUUUCAUAUUAUUCUGGCGUAACUCGCCGUGAAAAAACUACUUGUGAAGCACGAUAAGUGGAUCUUUUGAAAAUUACCGAAGUGAAAAACAUGACCGUUUUCUAACAAGGUGUAAAAAAAGGCGCGUGCAUUCAACAGCUUUCGAACGGUUGUUUAUGAAAUGGAAGGUGUCAGGAGACACGUCUUCUUAACAGGUUUUAUAUGAGCGAAAUAAUGGCAGCUUGUAGAGAAAGGGAUUUGAAUGAGGGGAAAGUUGACACCCUUUCAACUGGGAAGUAAGUUUCUCGUUAGUGAGCCAUUAAUCAUUCCGAGACAACCAGACUGACAGAAAAGAUUCAGCUAUUUCUACUGCUGAGUAAAAAUACAGACGUGAGAACAUUCUCCAACAUCGAUAGCCACACACUUUGGAAGUUGAUGAUACAAUUGUCUAAGAAUGGAUGCCGCGAUCAUUCGUUUGCAGUUCAAGUAUAGAAUGCAUACUUCGUGCAUGCUUUGUACGUUCAAUUCUGAAAUUGCGUAGCAAAGGAGGCGCAGUCUUAACCGAGUUUAUGAUAAUCGUUGACUAGGAUCUCGUCGGUCAUCACAAAAAUUGUUAUUCAAAACAUCACAUGGAUGUUAGAAUAACACUCGGAUGACGAAGCUCCUUUAAAAUAACAAACCAUAGAAAGCUGGCUAGAAUAAUAUACCUAAUAAUUUCACUAGAAGUUAACAAGAAUUAUUUGUUUGUAAGAACGCAACAUUUAUUAUUUUAG